UGCUUAACAAAUCUAAAUGUGAAAUUCUAUGCCUGUAUCAGACUGAAGAGAAAAAAGUUUAAUUUACCUGUUAAGAAAUGUGUAAAAUAUUUAGGUAUUCAUAUCUGCAAGGAUCACAAGGAACGUCAACAACUAAAUUUUUCAUCUAAAUUGAAGAAAUCUAAAACAAUUUUAAAUUUAUGGCUUCAAAGAGAUAUUUCUAUUUUAGGAAGGAUUCUUUUGACUAAAGUAGAAGGAAUUUCAAGAUUUGUUUAUCCUGCUCUCUCUCUUAAUGUUCAUGAUUCAAUAUGUAAAGAUAUAAAUACCAUAUUUACAAAUUUUGUGUGGAAAAACAGACACCAUCACCUUAAAAAAGCGGUGCUCUCUGGUUCGAAGGAUGAAGGCGGUUUUGAACUCUUGGACUUUGGUGACUUAAAUUAUACCUUUAAGGUGAAAUGGUUGAAGGAAUGUUUGCGAGCACCUGAAUCAUUAUGGUAUUUUAUCCCCAAUAACAUUUUUAAUAGUGUAGGAGGCCUAAAAUUUUUAUUGAAAUGUAACUACAAUAUUACAAGAUUGCCGCUAAAACUAUCCCAAUUUUAUCAACAAGCUCUUUUGGCUUGGAAGCUCUGUCAUUCUCACAACUUCUCUCCACACAAGUCCAUCAUUUGGAAUAAUGAAUGCAUUACUAAAGGGAACAAGUCACUCUAUUUGCAGAAUUGGAUCGAUAGAGAGAUUAUAUUUUUAAAAGAUCUUUUUGAUGGUAAUAAUCAAUUAUUUAAGUAUGAAUCUUUUCUCAGAGAGAAGGCAUUUCCAAUAACAUUCAAAGAAUAUAAAUCUGUUUUCAAGUCUAUACCUAAUGGCAUAUUAGAACUAAUGAAAAGUUAUAAAAAACAAAACGAAGUUUCUGGUUUAAAUACUUCUCUUUAUAUAAACGGUAUGGAUAUUAUGAGUAGCAAUUGUACUAAUAAACAUAUCAAAAAAUGCUUUUUAAGUUUAAAGAAAAUAACACCUCGUGGAAAAUUUUUCUGGAAUUCUCAUUUUUCUGAGAUUAAUUGGCAUGAGGCGUGGCUUGUUCCUUUUAGAUUUUGUAUCACAAAUAAAGUUAGGGAAUUACAUUUGAAAAUAUUACACAAUAUAUAUCCCACAAAUUUGUUUAUUUCAAAAUUCAAACCUGUUGAUGAUUUUUGUAGUUUUUGUAAGACUAAACAAGAAUCUUUAUCUCAUCUCUUUUAUGGUUGUUCAUUUUGUAUUACAUUUUGGAAAAAUGUUGAAAGUUAUGUGGCAUUUAAAACGAAACAUACAAUAACGCUUGAAGGGAAACAGAUUAUUACAUAUUUUGAUUGUAGUAAUAGAAGUUUAUGUAAUAUUGUAAAUCUCUUUAUUUUACUAGGUAAAUUCCAUAUUCAUAAAGCUAAAUUUUCCAAAUCAAGACCAUGUUUUAAAUUUUUCCAAAAAUAA
This is a long non-coding RNA of Cyprinus carpio (common carp), 1437 nucleotides long. Lineage: Eukaryota; Metazoa; Chordata; Actinopteri; Cypriniformes; Cyprinidae. The record is from Ensembl.